This 1815-nucleotide small RNA is filed under the name Cryptococcus neoformans H99. RNAcentral describes it as "Cryptococcus neoformans var. grubii H99 hypothetical RNA". The record is from RNAcentral. Lineage: Eukaryota; Fungi; Basidiomycota; Tremellomycetes; Tremellales; Cryptococcaceae.
GGUAGCGUGGCAGGGUCGGUCGCCGGUGUGGCGUUUGCUUGGUCUUUGUUCUGUUGGAGGGAUGUCUUUGGCGAUGUUGCCGCUGACAUACUGACGCGGUACGCAAGGAGCCAGGGGUGGCUGAUCCUGGGGAGAGAAUGGGAAUGGGGCCCGGCCAUGGACGUGAGGGUCCCCCCUGCGUUUCUCUCUCGCGGCGGUGUUUUCCGUUGUCGGAUUAGUGAAAUACGGUUCUAGUAUGUCGCGCGUCAAUCUAAAACCCUCUGCAUCAAGCUAAAACAGUGUGUACAGAAGGUUUUAUUGCAUCCCUUUCUUUCGUUUGUCUGCCUUUUCGGUCGUGGCUCGUCACUUUCUUCUGCCAUGCGGCCCUGGCAGCAAUUCUGCCGUCACCCGAGAUAUACCUAUAUGCUCAAGUCGUGAGAAUUCAUCCCAUUGCAGGCUGAGAAUGGUCGUGGGAAAAGUUGCCUUGUCUCUUUUUCCAUCCCUGACCGGGUUUACCCUUCCUUCUUUCUUCCUGAUACUUUUACUUUUUCCUCCGACAUUCUCUUUCGUUCAACACUUUCCCCUUGUGUCCUUUAUUUCCCUCCGCCUUUCCCCAGACUCAACAGAGCGUUUCCCGGUUCUUUGGCGACACCUCUAGCCAGCUCUGAUCCCUUUAUUCAAUACUCGAUUAUUCGUGCCACCAUUCGCUCCAUCGAUUUCUUACGAUCGCACAGUGGGAAUCCUAAACGUCACUCUUUUCCUUCGGGAUCCUGGGGUUACGCUUUCUCGUGUCCCGUUAUCUUUCUUUGGUAUUCACCUCCCUUAUCUUUUAUCGCCUAUCCGAGCGACCUUUUGUCGCCCUCAGAUGUGCCCAGUCGUCAGCAACGGCACUCCACGGUAUAUUUCCCCUAUUACAGAUUUCUUCCCCUUUCCAUUCUACUCAAUCCACGGCCAGCAUCUAUUUCCUGUCUUUUCACCUAAACCUUUUUAUCAACCGAGACUCUUGUCCAAACAAACCUCCACCUCAGUUUGUAUAUGAGCGCAAUCUAUCGGUAUUCACUGACUGCGCCAAUCUAUUCUGCAAUGCCUCGGCCAGGCGAGGGAUGAUCGGCCAGGCGAGGGAUGAUCGGCCAGGCGAGGGAUGAUCGGCCAGGUGAAGGAUGACGGGAUGUAUGCGGAAUGGGUUCGCAUUGGCGAUGCAGGGUACGCAAAAGGCCUAUUCAUCCAUCCACCACCAGCUGGAAACUGACAGAUGCUCCAUUCACCAUGUCGUAUUGAUGGAGCUUCCAACAGUCAUCGGUUGCAGAGCCAUACGAAUUCAGCUGUAUGGCCAAAAGCUUCCACUUCACCAGCGUAACUUUCCUCAAGCGCUGAGGAAUCUGACUAUUAUCUGGCAGGGAUAAGUCAGUGGGACACUGGUGUAACAUACAGAUCCGACAAGAUAAUUCCUCUUUGCUCCAGCCCAAGGUAUCUCUUCAGGCAUGGAUGUGUGUCCGAUGCUGAUACCGAUGUCGAUGGGCUUUGGGAGCAUUAAUGUGGGGAUGAUUGCGAGAGGCAAAGAGUGCAGGGUAAAAAUGUAUCCGCAUCCUGUCCAUCCGUGGGCAGCUACAAAAAUACGAUGCCAAGACUUUGUGGGUUAAUUAAACAACUGACAGCUGCCGAACAAUUACUAAAAGAGGUCACCCCCAUCGAUGAUGAGGAAUGUGGCACGGCUCGAUCCUGAGAGUUGGCUAUUGGAGGGAGGCCUGGGCUACGUACAAGCCCUGCAAGAGCGGUCUCUUCUGGCAUGGUAGAAUAGGAUUAAUACGUUUAUGCAAUUCCUCCUAUUAACCUCGU